GCGCUAACUGAUGCCCUCUAAGGGCCUCAGGCGUCAGUUGCGGAAGGUCCCCUUCUGGGAGGCGCGCGGGCAGGAGCAGGAAGGGCAGGGUCCCUAAGGGUAGGUCUCGCGGCUGGGCUGGGCUGUGCCAGGGGAGGCCUCAGACCCUGCACACAGGAGCGCACCGCUCUUCCGCUUUCUCAUCGGUCAGUUCUAUUACAAAGGAAGAAGCCUAUAACUCUGGACUUCAUGGCCAAAUUCUACUCACACAUACUGUAGCUGGGACCUAUUGGCUUUUGAUCGAUGAGUCAAAUACUGUAUCCAGGCACUCAAGAAAGGCAGGCUUCCUUGUUGCUUCCUCCCCUUAUCAGGUUGAGCUCUCUAAAUGUUUUACUGAGGGUCAUAUCUAAGUGCAUGGAAUUGUUAGUUUUAGAAGUCAUAAGUGGUCGUUUCGGGCACAUUUUUACAGAUGAAUGGGUAAGAAUCCUAUCUCCAUGGAUCACACUCAAAAAGCAAACAAUAAAGAAGAUGCCAUCUAGAGGCUUGUGGGGACCAGGGGCCUACGUCUGCACCAGGGAUCGGAAGAUGUUGGACUGAACUCGGCAGUCCCAUGAAAGGGCCACCCCUCAGAACUGGAGUUCUUUCUAGAGUCAAAGAGCACCAGUGACCAGUAGCUUCAGACCCACUGGAGGAUGUCAAGUGAUCAUGGUGGUUUCAGUUGACUCCACACAUGCCUCUUACUUCCCUUGGACCCACCCUAGGACUCCUGUGUUUUAAUGCCCCAGUGAAAACUAGGAUGCUGUUCCUGCCCUAUGAAAUGCACAGCCCAGAGGAGAAACAGACACAGAAACCCUGUAGAACAGAGUGACAUGGCUGGGACAGGAUAAAGAAAAAAUGAAGCUGGACGUGACCUCAGAAAUAGUGAUGGUCAGCCCUAGGAACCUCCUUGAGACCCAGGAACACGUUGCUGGGGAAGCCUCUUUCUCUGCCCGGUCUACAUUCCCACAGAAUCUUGUCCCAAACACUCCAGCCUUCCCUGGGUUCUCUUCUUAACACUUUCACAGCAUCCAUCACAGCGUCUACACCAAGAAGGCAGUGAAGAAACAUUUGCCACAUGAAGGAACAGAUAUAGUGAGAAUGGGUUUUUAACUUUCCCCAAUAUAAAAAUGAAAUAACCUGCUAUUGGAUAAAAUUCUCCCCUCAGUGUUUACACCUAGCUGAGAGGAGAAGACAUAACUACUUGUGGCAGACUGCAAAGCGACCCGGAUUCUUCACCCUCAUUAUAUCCCUGCUUUUCUCCAACUGACUCAGUAGAGCUUUCCAUGCCACACUGAUUCUGGGUUCAGCCAUAGGACUUGCUUUCAGUCCUUCUUCUUGCACCUCAGCCAUCGACAAGAGGAAAUGCUCAGGCUAGCCUGCUGGAGGAUGAGAGACGUGGAACAGAGCUGAGUCUUCCCAGUCAUCCCUGACAUGUGAGUGAGCCCCGACUAGAGCAGAAGAGCUGUCCAGCAGAGUCAUGCCUAAAUUGCUGACCUUUGAAGGCCUGACAUAAAUGCUAAUUAUUUUAAUAUAUUGAAUUUUGCAGUAGUUUGUUUAUCUGCACUAUUUUGGCAAUAGAUAACUGAUACACCUGAAAACAAACAUACACUUCAGUGCCAAGAUCACAAAUAUCCCAUGAGGAUGAAAUCAC
Molecule: long non-coding RNA, 1669 nt
Organism: Loxodonta africana (African savanna elephant)
Lineage: Eukaryota; Metazoa; Chordata; Mammalia; Proboscidea; Elephantidae
Exons: 8
Source: RefSeq, a predicted model, not a curated record